AUGCCCUCUUGCCUUCUGCCUUCUGCCUUCUGCUCGUGGGAUGAUGCAGCAAGAAGGCCCCCAAAAAUCAUGAGACCCUCAGCCUUGGACUUCCCAGCCCUCAGAGCUUGAUACCAGCUGAACCAGAAGCCAAUGGCAGCUUGAAACAGCAGCUUGCUCCUGUAUCUGAGGAUUCUGUGGUCCCGAAUCAGCACGUGUCACAGAUGUUUGGAGGAGACCGAGAGUGUGCUGUCGGCACGCAUCGUCCGUGAAGCAAUGGGGCAGAGUUCAUCCCUUACUUCAACCUAUGCAUCGCUGUUUUGUGCAUCGUCAUAAAAACAACACAUUCCAAAUGCACUGUCAUGGGCUUGGAAGGAAAAUAAUAAAGAAAACAAACC
This 377-nucleotide long non-coding RNA is filed under the name Homo sapiens (human). Its description in RNAcentral is "HSALNT0344348". The record is from RNAcentral. Lineage: Eukaryota; Metazoa; Chordata; Mammalia; Primates; Hominidae.